Non-coding RNA from Erinaceus europaeus (western European hedgehog), 106 nucleotides. The record is from Rfam. NCBI's taxonomy places the organism in Eukaryota, Metazoa, Chordata, Mammalia, Eulipotyphla, Erinaceidae.
GUACUUACUUCGGCAGCACAUAUACUAAACUGACACAGUAGAGAGAAGGUUAGAAUGGUCCCUGCGCAGGGAUGACACGCAAACCCGUGAAGCAUUCCAUAUCUUU